ACAUACAAGUAGUAGGGAAAGGAAACUAGGACCGACCCUUCGGGAGCUUGAACAGGUGCUGCAUGGCUGUCGUCAGCUCGUGUCGUGAGAUGUUCGGUUAAGUCCGCUAACGAGCGCAACCCUCGCUGUGUGUUACAAGUGUCACACGGAACUGCCGGUCAUAAACCGGAGGAAGGUGGGGAUGACGUCAAGUCAGCAUGGCCUUUAUAUCCUGGGCUACGCACACGCUACAAUGGGAAGGGACAAUAGGUUGCGAAGCCGCGAGGCGGAGCCAAUCCAGCAAAACUUCCCUCAGUUCAGAUUGCAGGCUGCAACUCGCCUGCAUGAAGUUGGAGUUGCUAGUAAACGCAGGUCAGCCAUACUGCGUUGAAUACGUUCCCGGGGCUU
RNAcentral lists this ribosomal RNA (387 nucleotides) under uncultured Anaerolineaceae bacterium. RNAcentral's name for it is "bacterial SSU rRNA". It matches the Rfam family "Bacterial small subunit ribosomal RNA", at positions 984 to 1382 of the family's 1533-position model. Lineage: Bacteria; Bacillati; Chloroflexota; Anaerolineae; Anaerolineales; Anaerolineaceae. The record is from RNAcentral.